Molecule: ribosomal RNA, 484 nt
Filed under: uncultured bacterium
Lineage: Bacteria
Description: partial 16S ribosomal RNA
Rfam family: Bacterial small subunit ribosomal RNA
Source: RNAcentral
AUUGAACGCUGGCGGCAUGCUUUACACAUGCAAGUCGAACGGCAGCACGGGCUUCGGCCUGGUGGCGAGUGGCGAACGGGUGAGUAAUAUAUCGGAACGUACCCAGCAGUGGGGGAUAACGUAGCGAAAGUUACGCUAAUACCGCAUACGAUCUAUGGAUGAAAGCAGGGGACCGCAAGGCCUUGUGCUCCUGGAGCGGCCGAUAUCUGAUUAGCUAGUUGGUGAGGUAAAGGCUCACCAAGGCGACGAUCAGUAGCUGGUCUGAGAGGACGACCAGCCACACUGGAACUGAGACACGGUCCAGACUCCUACGGGAGGCAGCAGUGGGGAAUUUUGGACAAUGGGCGCAAGCCUGAUCCAGCAAUGCCGCGUGAGUGAAGAAGGCCUUCGGGUUGUAAAGCUCUUUUGUCAGGGAAGAAACGGUAGAGGCUAAUAUCCUUUGCUAAUGACGGUACCUGAAGAAUAAGCACCGGCUAACUACGUG